This 633-nucleotide ribosomal RNA is filed under the name Streptococcus sp. Its description in RNAcentral is "bacterial SSU rRNA". It matches the Rfam family "Bacterial small subunit ribosomal RNA", at positions 67 to 685 of the family's 1533-position model. Lineage: Bacteria; Bacillati; Bacillota; Bacilli; Lactobacillales; Streptococcaceae. The record is from RNAcentral.
CUGAUGUUUGGUGUUUACACUAGACUGAUGAGUUGCGAACGGGUGAGUAACGCGUAGGUAACCUGCCUCAUAGCGGGGGAUAACUAUUGGAAACGAUAGCUAAUACCGCAUAAGAGUGAUUAACACAUGUUAGUUAUUUAAAUGGAGCAAUUGCUUCACUGUGAGAUGGACCUGCGUUGUAUUAGCUAGUUGGUGAGGUAAAGGCUCACCAACGCGACGAUACAUAGCCGACCUGAGAGGGUGAUCGGCCACACUGGGACUGAGACACGGCCCAGACUCCUACGGGAGGCAGCAGUAGGGAAUCUUCGGCAAUGGACGGAAGUCUGACCGAGCAACGCCGCGUGAGUGAAGAAGGUUUUCGGAUCGUAAAGCUCUGUUGUUAGAGAAGAACGUUGGUAGGAGUGGAAAAUCUACCAAGUGAUGGUAACUAACCAGAAAGGGACGGCUAACUACGUGCCAGCAGCCGCGGUAAUACGUAGGUCCCGAGCGUUCUCCGGAUUUAUUGGGCGUAAAGCGAGCGCAGGCGGUUCUUUAAGUCUGAAGUUAAAGGCAGUGGCUUAACCAUUGUACGCUUUGGAAACUGGAGGACUUGAGUGCAGAAGGGGAGAGUGGAAUUCCAUGUGUAGCGGUGAA